CAGCAGCCGCGGGAAUACGAGGGGGGCAAGCGUUGUUCGGAAUUAUUGGGCGUAAAGGGUGCGUAGGCGGUUUGAUAAGUUUGAUGUGAAAUCUCUGGGCUCAACCCAGAGUCUGCACGAGAAACUACCGGGCUUGAGUAUUGGAGAGGUGAGUGGAAUUUCCGGUGUAGCGGUGAAAUGCGUUGAGAUCGAAAAGAACACCAACAGCGAGAGCACUCUGCUGGGACGACACUGACACUAAGAGACGAAAGCUAGGGGAGCAAAUGGGAUUAGAUACCCCAGUAGUCCCUGUCUCUUAUAC
This 301-nucleotide ribosomal RNA is filed under the name uncultured bacterium. Its description in RNAcentral is "partial 16S ribosomal RNA". It matches the Rfam family "Bacterial small subunit ribosomal RNA", at positions 509 to 807 of the family's 1533-position model. The record is from RNAcentral.